UGGGGAAUAUUGGACAAUGGGCGAAAGCCUGAUCCAGCCAUGCCGCGUGUGUGAAGAAGGUCUUCGGAUUGUAAAGCACUUUAAGUUGGGAGGAAGGGCAGUAAGCGAAUACCUUGCUGUUUUGACGUUACCGACAGAAUAAGCACCGGCUAACUCUGUGCCAGCAGCCGCGGUAAUACAGAGGGUGCAAGCGUUAAUCGGAAUUACUGGGCGUAAAGCGCGCGUAGGUGGUUCGUUAAGUUGAAUGUGAAAGCCCCGGGCUCAACCUGGGAACUGCAUCCAAAACUGGCGAGCUAGAGUAGGGCGGAGGGUGAUGGAAUUUCCUGUGUAGCGGGGAAAUGCGUAGAUAUAGGAAGGAACACCAGUGGCGAAGGCGACCACCUGGGCUCAUACUGACACUGAGGUGCGAAAGCGUGGGGAGCAAACAGG
Molecule: ribosomal RNA, 429 nt
Filed under: Pseudomonadota bacterium
Lineage: Bacteria; Pseudomonadati; Pseudomonadota
Description: Proteobacteria bacterium partial 16S ribosomal RNA
Rfam family: Bacterial small subunit ribosomal RNA
Source: RNAcentral